This 4726-nucleotide long non-coding RNA is filed under the name Homo sapiens (human). Its description in RNAcentral is "non-protein coding LINC00092:11". The record is from RNAcentral. Lineage: Eukaryota; Metazoa; Chordata; Mammalia; Primates; Hominidae.
GUCAGACCUAGGCUCUCGCAGAGAACUGCAUCGCGCUCCCAGCUCUGCUGCCUCGGUGCGGGGACGGGGCUCUGCAUGAGGACUGGGAAUGUAAGUCCCGGGCCUGGACAGGCGCCCCUGGGAGCUAGCCUGGAGGAGAUUCAGUAGAAGGCUGAGGAGUCGGCUUGGAGGGUCUCGGCAAGGCGGCGCGGAUGGAGAUGAAGCUGCGAAGAAUGCUGAGAAAGAGCGGCCGGGGGCCUUGGAGGGAAGCUAGGGAAACGCUGCGGGGGCAGCCGAGGCCGUCGGCGCCCCGGGAGAAGGUGCAUGUGGAGUGGCGCCGGGGGGACGGGUGGGCGCUGGGCGGCGGCGGCGCCGGCCUGGAGGUGCGGCCUGGGCUCCUUCCGGACCCGCCCGGCCGGCGCAGGGGCUGCAGCCUCCACGCGGGGGCCUUCGGUUCCGCCUCAACUUUCCAACCGGGCCGCCUUCUCCCAGGGCGGGUGACUGAGCCGGGCACACGCAGCCUCUCCCGCGCCGGGCUGCCCCGGCCAGGGUCUUUCCUCCCUCGCCCAGUCGCUGCCCUCUCCUUUCCCGCAGCCCGCGGGGCCUGGGCUCUCCCUGCCAGCUCCUCCUGUGUCCACUUCAGCCUUCCCGGUUCCCCAGGCAGCCUGUCCUGCCGGUCACUCCGUCUCCCACCUGCUUUGCCGGGAACUAGAGCACACACCACACAGGAGGCGGGAGGGGGGCGCAAGAGGUGGGUGUUGGAGGCGGGGGUGUGGUGUGGCUGUGGUGUGAUGUGUGGUGUGUGGUGUGUGUGUGUGUGGUGUGGUGCAUGUGGGGUGUGUGUAGUGUGUUGUGUGUGGUGUGUGUGGUGUGUGUAGUGUGUGGGGUGGUGGGUAUGUGUGUGGGGUAUGUGGUGUGUGUGGUGUGUGUAGUGUGUGGGGUGGUGGGUAUGUGUGUGGGGUAUGUGGUGUGUGUAGUGUGUGUGUGUAGUGUGGUGUGUGUGUGGUGUGUUUGUGCGGUGUGGUGUGUUUGGUGUAGUGUGUUGUAUGUGUGGGGUGUGUGCGUGUGGUGUGUUUGGUGUAGUGUGUGUUGUGGUAUGUGUGGUGUGUGGGGUCUGUGUGGUGUGUUUGUGUGGUGUGGGGCGUGUUUGGUGCGUGUGGUGAGUUUGGUGUGUGUUGUGGUAUGUGUGUGGGGUGUGUGUGGUGUUUGUGUGUGGUGUGUUUGUAGUGUGUGUGGGCUGUGUGUGUGGUGUGGUGUGUUUGGUGUGUGGGGUGUGUGUGGCGUUUGUGUGUAGUGUGGUGUGUGUGGUGUGCUGUGUGUGGUGUGUUUGUGUGUGGUGUGUUUGUGUGUGUGGUGUGUAUAGUGUGGUGUGUGUAGUGUGUUUGUGUGUGUGGUGCGGUGUGUAUGCGGUGGGCGUGUGCAGAAACAACAAGCCCCUGCUCCGCAUGGGGUGUGGAGCAGAUGCUGCGGAAGCCGCCUGGCCUGUGGGCGUUGGCAGUGGGGACCAGCUGACCCAGAGACUCCGCGCUUCCCCGCGCUUCCCCCACCCCCGCCCCACUGCGGCGCUCCGGGGCUCACUGAGUUCCGAAUCCACCUCCUGGGAUCCGCGCCCUGGCUACCAGGCCCUGAGCCUUCUGCGGGCCAGCGAGCUCCCGCCAGGUUCUGCCAACAGGGGGCCCCAGAGGGCGGCGUGGUGGCCGCAGAUCGCAGGACAGGAGCCUGUUCCCGUCAGCAGAGCCCCAAUAACCCCCCGGACUCCCAACGGUGGCGCGGUCAUGCCCAGUUUUCUAGCUUGCUUCAUGCACUCCCAGGACCUGCCUGCCCACAUCCCGCCCGGGCCGGCUGGUCCAUCUCGGAGAUUUGAGUCCAGCUCUCUGGGAGGCCCCAGGGCCAGGCAAGUGCAGAGGUCCGGUUCCACUCCCCAGGGCCCCUUCUCCAGCUUCCAGGACCUCGGUUCUCAGAACCCUCAUGACUUCUCUUUGCUCUUUAGAGACCUUCACUGCUUCUAUCAGUCACCAUAUCUGAAUCUUGGCUUGCCACUCAAUCCUCCAAUAUCGACCAACAACAGGAGAUUCUCUCUAUCUGAGGGGGGAGGUGUGUUUCCCUGACUAGACUCUAAAUACAAAUCCUCCACUUCUCCAUCUGUCUCUCCAGUGAUCUCAGAGGCAUGGUCUUAACACCGCGCACAGUUCCUUGCAAGUUGAAGAGUAGACCCAAAUGAUCAGUUCUAAAAUUCUAUUCUUAUUGAAGAUUACUGGUGGAAAUAUCAAUGCAAACAAAAUGAAAAAGUUCAACAAUGAUUAAUACUGCAUUUCAACAGAAGAAUCAAAUCAUCUUGACAAAACUUCAAUGGGCAAAAUUUGCCUUGGGGAAUUUUAUGCAGGGGAAUCCUUGGGUCUGAUGUGUGGUGGGCUUUGGAUGUGUUGUGUAGCUCAGUGUCCCUUCCUGCUACUCCUAGUCAUCUCCAGAAACUCAGACCACCCAUCUACUAAAGGCAGGUGGAUGAGCAAGGGGGCCUCGGAGGCAUUCCGGAUCACACUGAACCUGAGCCCCACCGCCUGACCCACUCAGUGUCACUGUUAACAGAAACUCGCUGCCAUCUGGCCUCAGGCCUGCCUCCUUCCUAUAGAACUUGACACUGGAAGCACCAGGCGAGCUGGACCUUCUGCUGCUACUGCACUCCCAUGAUGCAGCCUGAGAAUGAAGCCCACCAGAGUGACAGAGAGCAGACCUGAGUGGUGAGCUGGUGACACAGGGUGUGGGUGGUGUCCCUUGAGCUUCGACACCACGCCACACCUGAAACCAGCCUGACAUCCAUGAUUUUGCUUUUUUGCUUAAACCAGUCUGCGUCAUUUUCAACAAAAGAGUUCUACUAGAUAUGACAAAUUUCUCUAGAAGACCUAAGAAGUGAAAGACUUGAAGCUAUUCCAGUGGUUCAGGAACUAGGACACUGGUAGGAAACUGGAAAGAAGGCAUCAGAGUUAAGGAAAUAUUUAUGAGGUCAACUCUGGAAGUCUUGGUUACUGAGUGAAUACAGUGGCUGAGAGGAAUGGAAGCAUCCAACCAAAUAAAAAAAGAUGGUGCUGAGAUUUGGGUUAUGAGGUCAAUGACUGAAGCAAUGCGAUUAACUGAGUUAGGAGUCUCAAAUAUAGGAUGAGUGCAGAGUUGAGGAUGAAGAAUUCUGCUUUGGACACAAUGAGUGUGAGGUGCCCAAGGAUAACCCAACGGGAAGCAGUCACACCAAAGCAACAGGGUGUGCACCUGAAACUCAGAAGGGUGAUUGGGCUAUGGUGAAGAUUCCUGAUCACCCAUAAAUGAAUUCAUUAAAAGCAUGAGAGUGAGUGGAGGGGCCCCUAGAAUAUGGUGGGUGCAUGAGACUAACCCUAGAUUGGGGAUAGCUCCCUGGGAAAUCCAAGGGACAAGGUGAGGAGGAGGAGGCGGAGCCCACCAAGGAAACUAGAAAGAGACCGCUGGAGAGGUCCGAGGACAGCAAGGAGCACAGCCUUCAAGUCUGGGAGCCAACUAUCCAAGAAGAGAGUGGUUUGCUAUGGAUGCCGUGGGCCACCACGUCCCAUCUAGGAAAGCAAGUUGAGGUCUCUCUUGAAUACAUUGGGAUUGAUUACCCAGACUUUAAAGAAUCUAUGUCCCCUACUUCCCUUCAUUCACUCUGCUCUUUACCUUCUCCUCUUCCCUGGUCACCAGCACCUCUGCUAAAGGGUGGAGAAAGGAACUUCUGAUCAGUUACAGAAAAGCUUUGGGGUUACGUGGUGCAAGCUGCUCUGCCUCUGUUUGUGAAGAAAUUAGACUAUGGCCAGCCAUGUGAGUGGCAUCACUUUGGUUUCUGGAGCAAUAGUUAGUAGCAACUUUUAGAGGUGGUCAUUUCGGUUCCCUUCUGGAAAGUGAUUCGUGUUUAAGAAAAAUAGAUGCAACGUUGCUAAGUACACCUAACAUUUAAACAGUCUCCAGCAGAUAAAUGCUGAUACUGACACUUCUCACCAGAAAAAGAGAAAUACCCAUCAUGAGGAAGAGAAAUGACUUUUGUUCAGUUAUGCUCCCGGGUCCCCUUUCACUGGAGGGAUAUCUCAGCUUUCUGAGCCCCUGGUUACUGCAAUCCUCGGUUCCAGAACCCAGCAAUUCCUAUCAUCACAAUUGUUUCAAGUCUUAUCCAAGCCCUGUAUAUUUCAGAUCAUCCUUAAUUUCUUGUUCUGUACCCAGAGGAGAUCAGGAAAACCUUUAAGUCUCUAUGUGAGGCAAAUACAUCCUCCUCACUGCCCCAGCCCCAUGUGAUUGAUGAAGCAACUGAGGAAGAGAAGUAGGGUGCUUCUGGCACUGGAGGAGCGCAGUGCUGAGAAACUCCGGGCUCCAUUCGGAAAUAGCACUGAUUUCUUAGUGUACUUUUUUUUGGUGUUAAUAUAGAAAACAUCAAAAACACAGUUAAAAGAAUGAAGCAUGUCUACAUACGUGUGGCCAGAAAGACUGACCAGAAGCUGGUAGCAGUGAGGGAUGACAGUGCUUGCCCCUGGGUUGAAUAGUGGAAGAGUUAGGGGGGAAACAGUCUGCUCUUUGAGACCCUUUCAAUUUCAUGUGAUGGAUUUACAGAGACAGAUGAAUUAAACAUUAUAUAAAAAAGGAAUAAAACCACUGGUAGGAUCUGUAUUCCAGGAAGAAAAAAGCAUAUUACAUAAUAGGUCAAUGCACAGAAAUAAAAAAAGGAAUUUAACUAGAGCCUAUGCUAAUCAUAAAUCCC